RNAcentral lists this unclassified non-coding RNA (1677 nucleotides) under uncultured fungus. RNAcentral's name for it is "sequence contains 18S rRNA gene, ITS1, 5.8S rRNA gene, ITS2, 28S rRNA gene". The stretch from base 546 to 1677 matches the Rfam family "Eukaryotic large subunit ribosomal RNA", at positions 1 to 961 of the family's 3401-position model. The record is from RNAcentral. Lineage: Eukaryota; Fungi.
GGAAGGAUCAUUAACACUUUGAAUCCUUUUAAAGCCUCUUGUUGAACACGUGAUUCGUCUUUUUUCUAAACAUUUAUUAAGUUUUUAAACAUUUUUCUGGAACUGAGCCCUCUCGCGGGGCUGAAGUGAAGGAAGAAUCAUAAAACAAAAAACAACUGCUAGCAUUGGAUGUCUUGGUUCUCGCAACGAUGAAGAACGCAGCAAAAUGCGAUAAGUAAUGUGAAUCGUAGAAUUCAGUGAAUCAUCAAAUCUUUGAACGCAAAUGGCACUUCUGGGUACUCCCAGGAGUAUACCUGUUUGAGAAUCAUCAACCCAUCUCAUUCCUAAUUCGUUUUAGGAAUGGUAAAUGAGCUUCGUCAUCAGACUUCUUGAAGUCUGAUGUCGCUCUAAGUGCAUGACAUGCCUCUUAAGAGUUCAAGGCUAUUUGAAGCACCCAACACUCUGGCCUCGUAAGGUUGAGUUUCUCAGCCCAAAACCUAGCCUUAGUGAGUGUUUCAUCAAGAGCUUUCUUGAGAGUGAAGUCUCUUACAAAUUUUAACAAACCAUGAUCUCAAAUCAGGCAAGACUACCCGCUGAAUUUAAGCAUAUCAUUAAGCGGAGGAAAAGAAACUAACCAGGAUUCCCCUAGUAACGGCGAGUGAAGCGGGAAAAGCUCAAUCUUUAAAUCGAAGGGGUCUCCUCUUCGAGUUGUAGAGUAUAGAGGCGCCUUCGGGGGAGUGCUCAGGUAUAAGUCCCUUGGAAGAGGGCGUCAUAGAGGGUGACAACCCCGUUUAUGACUUGGGCAUUUUCUCCAUACGGGACGCUUUCGAAGAGUCGAGUUGUUUGGGAAUGCAGCUCUAAACGGGUGGUAAAUUUCAUCUAAAGCUAAAUAUUGGCGAGAGACCGAUAGCGAACAAGUACCGCGAGGGAAAGAUGAAAAGAACUUUGAAAAGAGAGUUAAAAGGGCCUGAAACUGUUAGCAGGGAAGCGAUUGAAACUGGGCAUACGCCCUGGGAUUCGGGUUAGUUGCCGGAGGUUCCGGCGCAUUCCGCACCGCAAGGGCGGUGUGCGCUGUAAUUCUUUAGCGCCUGCCUUACUUUCUCAGGGUGUGGGGCAGCAUCAGUUAGGGUUUCAGGUAGAGGUCUCCGGGAAGGUAGGCUUGAUCUUCGGACCGAGCUGUUACAGCCUGGGGGCAACGCUGUUACCUUGGCUGAGGAAAUUCAGCGCGCGCCAUGCUUGAGGCCCGUGCUCUGGGCCCCGGUUCCACCAAGGACAGCCUCGCUGUGUUUGGGCUACCGGGGUCUACUUGCGCGAGGCCUUUCAUACGCGUGCUCCAGAUGUUGCCACAACGGUUUCAACCGACCCGUCUUGAAACACGGACCAAGGAGUCUAACAUAUAUGCGAGUAUUUGGGUGUCAAACCCAAGUGCGCAAUGAAAGUAAAGGUGCUCUCCGAGCGCUUAGGUGUGAACACGUGGUACUUUCCGCGUGCGCAACAUCGACCGGUCUGGAGGUUUUCUGAAAGAUCUGAGUAAGAGCAUAUCUGUUGGGACCCGAAAGAUGGUGAACUAUGCCUGAGCAGGACGAAGCCAGAGGAAACUCUGGUGGAAGUCCGUAGCGGUUCUGACGUGCAAAUCGAUCGUCAAAUUUGGGUAUAGGGGCGAAAGACUAAUCGAACCAUCUAGUAGCUGGUUCCCUC